Pollicipes pollicipes is the source of this 250-nucleotide long non-coding RNA. RefSeq lists it as uncharacterized. The transcript is spliced from 3 exons. Lineage: Eukaryota; Metazoa; Arthropoda; Thecostraca; Pollicipedomorpha; Pollicipedidae. The record is from RefSeq and is a predicted model, not a curated record.
CAAAACACAGGACGCGCGAAUUCGCACGAGUGUUCGGGCUUGCGAGGGGUGUUUGGAUAUUGUGUGGUGGCUGCACUGAGGACAUCAAAAUUGGGAGCAAUCAACAGUAUUUGGUUUCAAGCUCUCAUUUAAGGUCCUUUGGUUAUCGUAAGUAAUGAGUGAGUGCUGAAGACUACAGAUGAUGGUCACCGUUUGAGCGUCACCGACGGCCGCCGAGCGUCGGCGGCGGGUCAGGCCGGGCGAUACGCGC